This 497-nucleotide ribosomal RNA is filed under the name uncultured bacterium. RNAcentral describes it as "partial 16S ribosomal RNA". It matches the Rfam family "Bacterial small subunit ribosomal RNA", at positions 28 to 507 of the family's 1533-position model. The record is from RNAcentral.
GAUGAACGCUGGCGGCGUGCCUAAUACAUGCAAGUCGAGCGAACAGACGAGGAGCUUGCUCCUCUGACGUUAGCGGCGGACGGGUGAGUAACACGUGGAUAACCUACCUAUAAGACUGGGAUAACUUCGGGAAACCGGAGCUAAUACCGGAUAAUAUAUUGAACCGCAUGGUUCAAUAGUGAAAGACGGUUUUGCUGUCACUUAUAGAUGGAUACGCGCCGCAUUAGCUAGUUGGUAAGGUAACGGCUUACCAAGGCGACGAUGCGUAGCCGACCUGAGAGGGUGAUCGGCCACACUGGAACUGAGACACGGUCCAGACUCCUACGGGAGGCAGCAGUAGGGAAUCUUCCGCAAUGGGCGAAAGCCUGACGGAGCAACGCCGCGUGAGUGAUGAAGGUCUUCGGAUCGUAAAACUCUGUUAUUAGGGAAGAACAAAUGUGUAAGUAACUAUGCACGUCUUGACGGUACCUAAUCAGAAAGCCACGGCUAACUACGUG